Molecule: ribosomal RNA, 406 nt
Filed under: uncultured bacterium
Lineage: Bacteria
Description: partial 16S ribosomal RNA
Rfam family: Bacterial small subunit ribosomal RNA
Source: RNAcentral
CUUGAACGCUGGCGGCAGGCCUAACACAUGCAAGUCGAGCGAGCGGCGGACGGGUGAGUAAUGUAUGGGGAUCUGCCCGAUAGAGGGGGAUAACUACUGGAAACGGGGGCUAAUCCCGCAUACUAUCGGCUGAACCCGUAUGGGAUUAGCUAGUAGGUGGGGUAAAGGCUCACCUCGGACAAGAUCUCUAGCUGGUCUGAGAGGAUGAUACGCCAAACUGGGACGUAGACACGGCCCAGACUCCUACGGGAGGCAGCAGGGGGGAAUAUUGAACCAUGGGCUCAAGCCUGAUGCAGCCAGGCCGCGUGUAUGAAGAAGGCCUGAGGGUUGUAAAGUACUUUCAGCGGGGAGGCGUUACCCGCAGAAGAAGCACCGGCUAACUCCGUGCCAGCAGCCGCGGUAAUAC